UACGAAGGGGGCUAGCGUUGUUCGGAUUUACUGGGCGUAAAGCGCAUGUAGGCGGGGCGUUAAGUUGGGGGUGAAAUCCCGAGGCUCAACCUCGGAACUGGCUUCAAAACUGGCGACCUGGAGCAAGAUAGAGGCAAGUGGAAUUGCGAGUGUAGAGGUGAAAUUCGUAGAUAUUCGCAGGAACACCAGUGGCGAAGGCGGCUUGCUGGAUCUUUGCUGACGCUGAGAUGCGAAAGCGUGGGGAGCAAACAGG
This 253-nucleotide ribosomal RNA is filed under the name uncultured bacterium. Its description in RNAcentral is "partial 16S ribosomal RNA". It matches the Rfam family "Bacterial small subunit ribosomal RNA", at positions 524 to 776 of the family's 1533-position model. The record is from RNAcentral.